GCGUUCGCCCUGGCUCGUCUCGGGUUCGGCUCCACUCGGCUCCGUUCCGGUCGGGUUCGGCUACACUCGGCGCCGCCCAGGUCGGCGGCACUCGGCUCGGCUCGGCUCGGCUCGGCUCGGCUCGGCUCCGCUCCGCUCGGUUCGGGUUCUCCUCCAGGCGGCUCUGCGGUCCUCGACGGUGACUUUUGAAAAUGAAGUCAGAGGAAACUGAAAGAGGCAGACCCUCCUGGUGAAGUAGCAGAGGGAUGCAAAGUGAGUCUGUGUGCUAACUGGGUGGAGAAGUUACUCAUGUGCCAGGCAGGCACACGUUGUGUGAAAACAGGAGCUGCAGAGACCCUCUGAGGAUUCUUGAUGUGCUGCUGAAGUGCCAUGCUGGUGGGGAAGAUUUAAAAAUGAUGACAUCUGAUAGAAGAGCUCGUCCAGAUUCUAUGACUGUGAAAUGUACAAAUACCUAAAUCUGGUACCACGGUAACUUGGAAGAACAGUUCUUACGCCUGAUUUUCCAUGUCUACAAAUAUGAAAAACAAGCUGCUUCAAA
Long non-coding RNA from Corapipo altera (White-ruffed manakin), 538 nucleotides. RefSeq lists it as uncharacterized. The transcript has 2 exons. The record is from RefSeq and is a predicted model, not a curated record. Lineage: Eukaryota; Metazoa; Chordata; Aves; Passeriformes; Pipridae.